AGAUCCUGACAAAGAACACCUGUAGAGACAGGAGAAUACAUGGAAAUCUGGAAGAAAGGGAGAAGAUGGAAAACCUGAAACAUCUUCACCUUAGGAGGGCAAACAACAUGAUGGUCCUUUAAGAAAUCACUUCAAGGCUGACACCUUACUGGUC
Molecule: long non-coding RNA, 154 nt
Filed under: Meleagris gallopavo (turkey)
Lineage: Eukaryota; Metazoa; Chordata; Aves; Galliformes; Phasianidae
Description: lncRNA (ENSMGAG00000022902.1)
Source: RNAcentral